UUCGCAAUGCCCGAAAGGGUGACGAAGCGACGCCGCGUGGGUGAAGAAGGCCUUCGGGUUGUAAAACCCUGUCAGGAGUUAUGAAAUGUAAGUACGCUAAUAUCGUGCUUAUUUGACAAAGGCUCCAAAGGAAGCCACGGCUAACUCUGUGCCAGCAGCCGCGGUAAUACAGAGGUGGCGAGCGUUGUUCGGAAUUAUUGGGCGUAAAGAGCACGUAGGUGGGUUUGUAAGUCAGAUGUGAAAGCCUUCUGUUCAACGGAAGAAUUGCAUCUGAAACUACUAAUCUUGAGUAUAGGAGGGGAGAAUGGAACUUCUGGUGGAGCGGUGAAAUGCGUAGAUAUCAGAAGGAACGCCGGCGGCGAAAGCGAUUCUCUGGCCUAUUACUGACACUCAGUGUGCGAAAGCUAGGGGAGCAAACGGGAUUAGAUACCCCGGUAGUCCUAGCCGUAAACGAUGGGCACUAAGUAGAGGGGUUUU
Molecule: ribosomal RNA, 477 nt
Filed under: uncultured bacterium
Lineage: Bacteria
Description: bacterial SSU rRNA
Rfam family: Bacterial small subunit ribosomal RNA
Source: RNAcentral